CAAGAUGAGAUGAUUCCACGGAUGCAAAGCACAAGUACCUGUUCCUGGCCCAGCAUCUUCAUCAUUUGGCUAAGGCUUAGUUCAUCCCUAUUCUGCCACCACUUUCUCCUAACUCAGACCCACCUCUCCCUCCCUUGGACCCCCACUGUAACUUCUGAAAAGUGGCACUUGUCAUAGUACCAAGGGUAACUGACCCUCCCAUAUCCAGAGCCAGUGGUAGUCUUGGUGGUGUUGACUCCAUCCUCAGCCUGUGUUUUAAUAUGGUCAAUCAGAUAACAUGCCUCUGGCCCCAGUGAUUGGUUCAGAGGGCUUGGCACUAUGAAGAUUGAGCUGCCUGUGACCAACUCACGGAGAAAAUCUGCCUGAGAGUAAAGCCAACACAGAGGGAAGUAAAAUCAACUGAGUCCUAAUGACAGUGUUUGAGCCCCUGGAUCAAGCCAUGCCUGAAGGCAGUGAUCUUAAUUUUUUUUAAACUAUACAAAUAUAUUUUAAAAUUAUUAUUUUCUGU
This is a long non-coding RNA of Bubalus bubalis (water buffalo), 508 nucleotides long. RefSeq lists it as uncharacterized. The record is from RefSeq and is a predicted model, not a curated record. The transcript has 3 exons. Lineage: Eukaryota; Metazoa; Chordata; Mammalia; Artiodactyla; Bovidae.